RNAcentral lists this ribosomal RNA (453 nucleotides) under uncultured soil bacterium. Its description in RNAcentral is "bacterial SSU rRNA". It matches the Rfam family "Bacterial small subunit ribosomal RNA", at positions 26 to 516 of the family's 1533-position model. The record is from RNAcentral.
AGAGCGAACGCUGGCGGCAGGCCUAACACAUGCAAGUCGAGCGGCCGUAGCAAUACGGCAGCGGCAGACGGGAGAGUAACACGUGGGAACGUGCCCAUCAGUUCGGAACAACCCAGGGAAACUUGGGCUAAUACCGGAUACGCCCUUACGGGGAAAGAUUUAUCGCUGAUGGAGCGGCCCGCGUCUGAUUAGCUAGUUGGUGAGGUAACGGCUCACCAAGGCGACGAUCAGUAGCUGGUCUGAGAGGAUGAUCAGCCUCACUGGGACUGAGACACGGCCCAGACUCCUACGGGAGGCAGCAGUGGGGAAUAUGGACAAUGGGCGCAAGCCUGAUCCAGCCAUGCCGCGUGGAUGAUGAAGGCCCUAGGGUUGUAAAGUCCGUUUCGGCGGGAAAGAGUAAAUGAACCGGUACCCGCAAGAAGAACGCCCGGACUAACGUUCGUGCCAGCAGCC